CAGUAGCCACGGUAAGACAGAGGGUGCAAACGUUGUUCGGAAUUACUGGGCGUAAAGCGUGUGUAGGCGGUUUGGCAAGUCGGAUGUGAAAGCCCCGGGCUCAACCCGGGAAGUGCACUCGAUACUGCUGGACUGGAGUGUGGGAGAGGUUGGUGGAAUUCUCGGUGUAGAGGUGAAAUUCGUAGAUAUCGAGAGGAACACCGGCGGCGAAGGCGGCCAACUGGACCAACACUGACGCUGAGACACGAAAGCGUGGGGAGCAAACAGGAUUAGAGACCCCGCUAGUCCCUGUCUCUUAUAC
This 301-nucleotide ribosomal RNA is filed under the name uncultured bacterium. RNAcentral describes it as "partial 16S ribosomal RNA". It matches the Rfam family "Bacterial small subunit ribosomal RNA", at positions 509 to 807 of the family's 1533-position model. The record is from RNAcentral.